CCUCCCUUCCCACCCCAUCUGCAGGAAGAAAGUUAACUUUUAUUAGAACUAUGUUUCCUGGGCUCAUACUUGAUUCAAUAAUGGCAAGGUUUGAGUAACCCUGACUAUGGAGCAGUUAUAAGGGAAGCAUGGGAAAAUUGGAAUGUUUGACCUUCUUUGAAAUGGUCAUCGCUGUCUGGACAGACCUUCUAAUGCUCCUGGAGCAAUCUCUGCCUGAAAUGUGAGCUGAAUUCUAAGGAAGAUUGAAUUCUGACUCCUUUUGCACUGGGAAGCCAAGCAACCACACAACUUGCAGGACCUGGGAUAGUUUUCUUCUCAUGGUAAGACUUCCUGGAGUUGUAUUAAAGACUGUCCUGUUCUUUUAAAGUCACUUUAGUACCCUAUGGUGGU
This 390-nucleotide long non-coding RNA is filed under the name Coturnix japonica (Japanese quail). Its description in RNAcentral is "lncRNA (ENSCJPG00005018042.1)". The record is from RNAcentral. Lineage: Eukaryota; Metazoa; Chordata; Aves; Galliformes; Phasianidae.